GACNUAAGCAUAUCAAUAAGCGGAGGAAAAGAAACCAACAGGGAUUGCCUCAGUAACGGCGAGUGAAGCGGCAACAGCUCAAAUUUGAAAUCUGACCCCUUCGGGGCCCGAGUUGUAAUUUGUAGAGGAUGCUUCGGGUGCGGUGCCGGUCUAAGUUCCUUGGAACAGGACGUCAUAGAGGGUGAGAAUCCCGUAUGCGACCGGCGGCCAACCCCGUGUGAAGCCCCUUCGACGAGUCGAGUUGUUUGGGAAUGCAGCUCAAAAUGGGUGGUAAAUUUCAUCUAAAGCUAAAUAUCGGCCAGAGACCGAUAGCGCACAAGUAGAGUGAUCGAAAGAUGAAAAGCACUUUGGAAAGAGAGUCAAACAGUACGUGAAAUUGUUGAAAGGGAAGCGCUUGCAACCAGACCUGCCCGCGGGCGAUCAGCCGUUAUUCUUAGCGGUGCACUCGUCCGCGAUCAGGCCAGCAUCGGUUCGGGCGGCCGGAUAAAGGCCUCGGGAAUGUAGCUCCCCCCGGGGAGUCUUAUAGCCCGGGGUGCAAUGCGGCCAGCCCGGACCGAGGACCGCGCUUCGGCUAGGAUGCUGGCGUAAUGGUUGUAAGCGACCCGUCUUGAAACACGGACC
This 621-nucleotide ribosomal RNA is filed under the name Porpidia melinodes. RNAcentral's name for it is "LSU rRNA". It matches the Rfam family "Eukaryotic large subunit ribosomal RNA", at positions 31 to 667 of the family's 3401-position model. The record is from RNAcentral. Lineage: Eukaryota; Fungi; Ascomycota; Lecanoromycetes; Lecideales; Lecideaceae.